This 73-nucleotide transfer RNA is filed under the name Hypoxylon rubiginosum. Its description in RNAcentral is "tRNA-OTHER". It matches the Rfam family "tRNA". Rfam says of the family: Transfer RNA (tRNA) molecules are approximately 80 nucleotides in length. Lineage: Eukaryota; Fungi; Ascomycota; Sordariomycetes; Xylariales; Hypoxylaceae. The record is from RNAcentral.
GUAUAUGUAGCGCAAUUGGUAAGAGCAGGAGACUAGGAUCUCAAGGUUCCGGGUUCGAGUCCCGGCAUAUGCU